GGCUAAUACCGCAUGAUGCCUACGGGCCAAAGAGGGGGACCUUCGGGCCUCUCGCGUCAGGAUAUGCCUAGGUGGGAUUAGCUAGUUGGUGAGGUAAGGGCUCACCAAGGCGACGAUCCCUAGCUGGUCUGAGAGGAUGAUCAGCCACACUGGAACUGAGACACGGUCCAGACUCCUACGGGAGGCAGCAGUGGGGAAUAUUGCACAAUGGGCGCAAGCCUGAUGCAGCCAUGCCGCGUGUAUGAAGAAGGCCUUCGGGUUGUAAAGUACUUUCAGUCGUGAGGAAGGCGGCGUCGUUAAUAGCGGCGUUGUUUGACGUUAGCGACAGAAGAAGCACCGGCUAACUCCGUGCCAGCAGCCGCGGUAAUACGGAGGGUGCGAGCGUUAAUCGGAAUUACUGGGCGUA
Molecule: ribosomal RNA, 406 nt
Filed under: Vibrio sp. BTTN7
Lineage: Bacteria; Pseudomonadati; Pseudomonadota; Gammaproteobacteria; Vibrionales; Vibrionaceae
Description: bacterial SSU rRNA
Rfam family: Bacterial small subunit ribosomal RNA
Source: RNAcentral